UACGUAGGGUGCAAGCGUUGUCCGGAAUUAUUGGGCGUAAAGAGCUCGUAGGCGGUCUGUCGCGUCGGCUGUGAAAACCUGGGGCUCAACCCCAGGCCUGCAGUCGAUACGGGCAGACUAGAGUCCGGCAGGGGAGACUGGAAUUCCUGGUGUAGCGGUGAAAUGCGCAGAUAUCAGGAGGAACACCGGUGGCGAAGGCGGGUCUCUGGGCCGGAACUGACGCUGAGGAGCGAAAGCUAGGGUAGCAAACGGG
This 253-nucleotide ribosomal RNA is filed under the name uncultured bacterium. RNAcentral's name for it is "partial 16S ribosomal RNA". It matches the Rfam family "Bacterial small subunit ribosomal RNA", at positions 524 to 776 of the family's 1533-position model. The record is from RNAcentral.